Long non-coding RNA from Homo sapiens (human), 1961 nucleotides. Lineage: Eukaryota; Metazoa; Chordata; Mammalia; Primates; Hominidae. The record is from RefSeq and is marked reviewed.
AGCCUCAUCCUACUGCCUUACUAUUGGUCGUCGGCAACCGCUUUGUUAGUUAAUUGGAGAGACUGGAUGUCCAUCAGGGUCACGCUUGCAGGGCAACGAGAGGCAAAACAAGAGGGAAGACGACUUUCCUCCUGUGAGCCAAUGAGGCCAGCUGGACUACGCCGAGACAACUGGGAGAGGCGCGGGACUCGCCCGUUCCGCGGAACGCCGGGAAGGGGUCACCUCCUGAUGAAGUUUCCGGUUCCGGUGUCAGCGGCGGUUGAAUUGCCAUGGCAAUGCGGUGGGCGCGCGCUUGUCGUGUUGGUCUCUUGGGAGGUAGCGGGGCUAGGCCGGGCGGGUAUCCGCCUCUCCCAGCUUAGGUGAGCGUCCCCGGGCGCCUCCGGAGCGCCGCGGCCGCAUGCAGUUCGUCGUGGCGGGGAGCCGGAGCCUGACCGGGGUUCCAGCGCUCGGGCCGUAGCCUUGGCUCCUGGACUUUCCCUGGCUCCGCCGCCACGUGGGAGCUGAGGCUCUGGGGCUUCCGCCUCCGGCGCGCGAUUAUUUCUCUAGAACAGUUUUCAUUUUUAAAAUUUGUAAAGCGCUUUUGCCUGUGUGAUUUCCUCUGGGUUUUUUUUUUUUUUCUUCCUUUUUGUAGAGACGGAAUUGGCGGCGGGGGCGGGGGGUCGAUGUCUCACUUUUUUGCCCAGGCUGGUCUCGAACUCCUGGCUUCAAGGGAUCCUCCUGCCUCGGCCUCUUAAAGUGCUGGGAUUACAGGCGUGAGCCACCGCCCCCGGCCGCCUCUGAGUUUCCAGCCUCGUUGGCCCUCCAGCCUUUUAACCUGUUGGGCCUAGGAUCAGGAAAGGUUUGUUGAAUGGGGAACUAAGAAGUGAAUUCGUUCGUUCGACAAACGUUUCCUGAGCAGCCGCUGGGUGCUAGGCGCAGUGCCAGCGCGGAAUGUCCAGGGAGACCUGGUGCCCAAAGCUUGGACCCAUCGUGAGAAAUGAGAAGCAGAUACAAAGCAGUGUGGGAGUGCAGAGGAGACAAAGCAAGCCUCAUCAGGCCCAUUGCUUGCUCUGCUCUCCCUUGUACUUACCAGUGCUUGACAAUAUACAGUUAUUUACUAGCUUGGUUAUUGACUUCCUACCCAGCACUCAGUUUUAUUCACUGCUGUAUCCUCAGUGCCUAGGACGAUGCUUGGAACGUGGUAAGUGCUCCUAUUGGCGGGAAGAAUAAAUCCGGAAGAGCAGGACCAGUGGACUUGCUACAUAAUCUGUAGUCUUGGAGCCGCACAGGGUUGGUGGUACCCUCGAGCACACCAGACUUGCAGAAAAAGCAUACUCCAGAGGAAGCUGAGGCAUGCCUGCUCGAGAGCCAGCUGUUCCAUGUGCAAUUUUCCUCUGAUAGUUUCUGGUCACUGUUGCCACGGUGAUAAUGACUGGGCUAUGUCAUUAUCUAUCCGCCAACAGUAAGAGAAGCUUUGCAGUCGAGAUAUUGUUUAGCAGAUGGAGUGUUUUCUGUUGAACACUAAGUACUGCCACAAGUUACUUUUUUUUUUUUAAACUUUGAGUAUUUUUUUACAAUGUUGCUGGAGGUGAUCUGUUUAUGCUUUGAGAGUGUUCGAAUUUAAAAUCAGAAAAUCAUGUCAGUGAGUGAGUCUUUCAAAUAAUCCUUCGGCAUGAAACCUGAGCCUAGUAAACUAUGAAAGUAAACUCGGCACAUUACCCGAAAGUCUCAAUGUCAUAUUUUCACCCCCAUCAAUAUUAUUGAUGAUUGCUCAUUUUCUAAUGUGGGACCUGAAAUUUACCAGGUGCUUAAAGAAUCUUUUUGUUUUUCAGAUUCAUUGAUUCCAGGUAAAUCAGAGGAACAAGCAACAUGAACAGAAAUAUGUAGAAAAAGCUAUUAUGCAGAAGCAUAAUUGUUGUUUCAGAAGUCCAGCAUCUGGUGCACUUAACAAUAGAGAAUAUAUUAAACUCUUUCCAAAAUAA